UUAGUGUACGCAUUCGACUGUGAACCUCUGACAAGUGAACAAGUGGCCCGCACGUUCUGAAGUGACUGUUCCUUAAAUUCACAAAAAAGCAAAAAGCUAUUGAUUUAAAAGCAACCGCCUUGAUUUUGGACAAACGAGCUAAGGACAUACGGAUAGGAUAAGUAAUUAAGGAUGGGGGUGGUGGACCCUGGGGGAGGCUCCCCCGGGUCAUAUUAUGAGAUCCUCGGGGAGGAUCAUAGAGUGAUGGGGAAGAGGAAAAGGAAGAUGAGAGGGGAGAAAGUAGCAUUGGAAGAAAUGUGUGACAACGAGGAAAUAUUUAUGGUGGUAGAGAGUAUCACAGAGGGGAAAACGUUAGCAACAUUUAACCCGUUUCUAUUCCGAAAGUCAGUCGAGACUGCCAUUAAUGGCAAACCGGUACAAACGACGCUGCUGAGGGAUGGCAAAAUCCUCAUGAAGAUGAAGAACAGAAGCGACGCCAGAAAGCUGUCAAAACUUAACCUCAAUCACCCGGGCGGCACGUUGAACGUAAAAGUAUACGAGCACGAAUCGCUUAACCUCACAACCCAAGGGGAAAUUCUCGAGGAUAAAUAUCCCCCUCUCUUUCUAUUUAUACACCUCUUCCGUUCGCACUCAUGGAUGAUUUGUCACACACUCGAGUUUGGUUCAUGAUGACCUUAAUGUUUACAUUUUGCUCUCCUUUUAUUAUUAUACCCAUCUCGUUUACGCCUAUAGAUUCACCUUGUUUGGGUGAAUAUGUGUAUGGGCAUGUGUGCACUCGUACAGGGUUGGUCUCGUUACUUUACGAUACGAAUGGUAUAUAUUAUACCGUCAUUAUUGUUUUUACAGUUCGUUUGAGUAUUUUCAUUCAAUCCCAGAGUGUUUUUAGUUCUUCAAUUUAUUUCACAUGGUUUUCGAUAUGAUUUUAUUGUCAAGACGGUAGGUUUUGUCGAAAAAAUGUAUAUAACAAAUUGAAACACUUUGUACAAAAUAUGCCGUUCGCAUCGCAAAGUGAAUAGGCGAGCCCUGUAUCUUUGAUCGCUGAUUUUUGGUCGGGCUGCUCAUGGAGAAGGGGUAAGAGUUCAUGCGUGAUUUGAUUAGAAGAGACGGAGAGGUUAACGAAGCCGAUCGUCUUCGUUCUACUCACUGUGUGAUUGUUGAUCCAAAUCUCUUUUCCGCCAAUAAAUGUUGCGGAAAAUUUUAUUAGGUUUCAAGUCGUGCGAUUUGUCUUGAGCAAUUUGUGCAGGAAAUGUUUUCGUCAAUAAGAAAGGAUGCUGCGGAUCUUUCGAUCGUCAUAGGGAUCGGCUCAGGAUAUGCCUUCAAAUACCGUUACUACAUUAACCUUCACGACGACCAUGUCCCGGACAAAAAUGGGGACGACACUGGAGCUUUUCUUUGCCUGGUUCAGCUGCGCAAUAUGUACGUGAUGCAUUUCGCUCGUUCAUGUUUUUGUUACACCUAACACUAUCGCACUGAGCGGCCGGGAUGGGCCUCCGGCUCGAAGGGAACAAUCGACACCAACAGGAGAUUGACUACACUGUGUCAACCAUCCUGUCCAGUGCAACCAGGCAACACAACAUUCCUCUUCAGCAACAGCACCAUCAUAAUCCGUGCUAGAAGCAACCAUUGCUGUCGGGAGACUAAAAGAUGCAAAAUUGAUCUUAAAUAAAAGCAAACAAAUUUGUGUAGAAUGAUGA
This is a long non-coding RNA of Anopheles stephensi (Asian malaria mosquito), 1694 nucleotides long. RefSeq lists it as uncharacterized. The record is from RefSeq and is a predicted model, not a curated record. Lineage: Eukaryota; Metazoa; Arthropoda; Insecta; Diptera; Culicidae. The transcript has 2 exons.